This 572-nucleotide ribosomal RNA is filed under the name uncultured eukaryote. RNAcentral describes it as "bacterial SSU rRNA". It matches the Rfam family "Eukaryotic small subunit ribosomal RNA", at positions 21 to 549 of the family's 1831-position model. The record is from RNAcentral.
UAGUCAUAUGCUUGUUUCAAGGACUAAGCCAUGCAUGCCUCAGAAUGACUGCAUUGCAGGAAUCUGCGCAUGGCUCAUUACAUCAGACGUAAUCUGCCGCAAAAAUGUUGCGGUUUCGCAAGAUUGGAUACCUUGGCGAAACGCCAAGCUAAUACAUGAACAAGAAGCACCCUCCACUCCAUGUUUGGCGCAAGUCAAGCAGCGAGGGGCUUUGCGAAUGAAUGAAACUAGAACCAAUGCUCGCAAGAGCAGCAACACAAGCAGUGUUGAAUCAAUUCAUUCCGUGCGAAAGCCGGUUUACCGGCGUCUUUCGAUGAACAACUGCCCUAUCAGCCAGUGAUGGCCGUGUAGUGGACUGCCAUGGCGUUGACGGGAGCGGGGGAUUAGGGUUCGAUUCCGGAGAGGGCGCCUGAGAAAUGGCGACCACUUCUACGGAGGGCAGCAGGCGCGCAAAUUGCCCAAUGCCAAAACAAAUGAUGAGGCAGCGAAAAGAAAUAGGUGCCCCAAACUCCUUGUGGGUUUGGGGCUUUCAAUGGGGGAUAUUUAAAACCAUCCAACAUCGAGUAACAAUU